RNAcentral lists this ribosomal RNA (843 nucleotides) under Triticum aestivum (bread wheat). RNAcentral's name for it is "partial small subunit ribosomal RNA". The record is from RNAcentral. Lineage: Eukaryota; Viridiplantae; Streptophyta; Magnoliopsida; Poales; Poaceae.
AUGAGAAAACAUUUGCAGAAUGAGCAUUCUGUGACUUGUACGAAGAAACCUCUUGGAGCACAUCCACCAGACCCUUCAUCAAGCAGUGCGCCUAUUGUAAUCGCCAGCUCAUCCAGGAGAAAAGGAAAGAGACGACGGUCCAUGGCAUGGGAACAUUUUGAUGUCAUGGAAGAAGAAAACGAGCAGCCUAUGAAAGCAAGAUGUAAAUAUUGUCCCACUCAGAUCAAGUGCGGACCCAAGAGCGGGACAGCAGGUAUGCUCAACCAUUACAAGAUCUGCAAGGACAAACCUGGACCAAAUGAGCAUCCGCCGAACCUAUCAAGCACUGGUGAUGCUCAUGCACAUGUGAUGCCAAUCCUAAUUGGCGACUCAUCUACCGGAAAAGGUAGAGUGGAUGAGUCCGCACGAAUAAUUGUGGAUAACACAGUCUCCCCUUGGGACAAGGCCGAGUUAUCCAACAAGAUAAAAAGAAUAGCUAGUCAGUUGCAAUUCAUCCGAGGGGAAGUGAGUGAGAUUCCCAAGCUACAUGGAUCAGACUCUCCUUCAUGUUCAGAUCACCACCGGAGUACAACAUCAGAUCAGCACUUAAGAACAUCAAGUCUUCUUCCAAGGAAAGUUUAUGGAAGAGUUACAGAAAAGAGUUGCAUCAUGAAAUUGAUAAUGACAGAAAACAGAUCUGACAACGUAGUUGUUGUGCCUAUUGUAGGCAUUGCAGGUAUUGGAAAGACAACUCUUGCUCAACUUGUGUACAAUGAUCCAAACGUGGAGCGUCAAUUUCACCAUAGGAUAUGGGUUUGGGUGUCUCACAACUUCGAUGAAAUGAGGAUAACAAGGGGAUGUUGA